RNAcentral lists this ribosomal RNA (468 nucleotides) under uncultured bacterium. RNAcentral describes it as "partial 16S ribosomal RNA". It matches the Rfam family "Bacterial small subunit ribosomal RNA", at positions 28 to 507 of the family's 1533-position model. The record is from RNAcentral.
GACGAACGCUGGCGGCGUGCUUAACACAUGCAAGUCGAACGGAAAGGCCCUGCUUUUGUGGGGUGCUCGAGUGGCGAACGGGUGAGUAACACGUGAGUAACCUGCCCUUGACUUUGGGAUAACUUCAGGAAACUGGGGCUAAUACCGGAUAGGAGCUCCUGCUGCAUGGUGGGGGUUGGAAAGUUUCGGCGGUUGGGGAUGGACUCGCGGCUUAUCAGCUUGUUGGUGGGGUAGUGGCUUACCAAGGCUUUGACGGGUAGCCGGCCUGAGAGGGUGACCGGCCACAUUGGGACCGAGAUACGGCCCAGACUCCUACGGGAGGCAGCAGUGGGGAAUAUUGCACAAUGGGCGAAAGCCUGAUGCAGCAACGCCGCGUGCGGGAUGACGGCCUUCGGGUUGUAAACCGCUUUCGCCUGUGACGAAGCGUGAGUGACGGUAAUGGGUAAAGAAGCACCGGCUAACUACGUG